Molecule: long non-coding RNA, 1158 nt
Organism: Glycine soja
Lineage: Eukaryota; Viridiplantae; Streptophyta; Magnoliopsida; Fabales; Fabaceae
Exons: 2
Source: RefSeq, a predicted model, not a curated record
GGUCCUAUGGGGCCGUGUUUGACUUUGCUAACCCACCCAGUGGUGAAAUCCUCUUGAGGUCCUAUGGGAACCCUGCUAAUUGGAAGCUGGAGCAACUUAUGACACCAAAGUUCAGAUUAGCAGCAACCUCUUUAGGUUAACAGCUUCUAUUGGUGAAAUCCUCUUUAGCCAUUUCUUUGGCAUAUUUAUAUUCUUUCCUUGUUUAUGGUAAUUUUGAUCAGGUUAACUUGGAAUUUUCAUGCUGUUUUGUUUAUGAGAAAAUAGUUAAAAGUAAAGGAUUGUCAACCGUAUGCAGUGAAUUACUGAAAUAGUGUAGUAUGAUUUUGUAGAAUUAUGGACUAGACGACUAGUCAUCAUUUUUAUAGUUGGCUAGUAAUUAGGACAGUGAAAGGUUAUGGUUGAGUUUGUCAAUAUUAGGUGAGAACCAGUUUGAUUGAUUAUUUAAUAUAAAUGUGUCCUGGGAUGGGAUUUAUCUGCAAUCCUCUUUAUGCUUUUGUAAUAUCACCCUCUGAUCAAUGUACAUUUAGUUUUAGGCCUAUAGAAAUGAUCACCAUCGAUUGUGGCUCUUUCUUGAUUUUUUUUUCCAUGUGACUUGUUGCCAGAUAAUCAGGUAGAACCACCUUCAUUUAUCGUUAACCUGACCUAUACUUGUUUUAUGAGAAAAGAUAACUCAAAUUAUCCCCAUAUGGACAUGCCAAUACAUGCUAUAAAUGUCAUUGAAAACCUAAGGUAUUUGACUGCUACUCUGAUAGUAGUGAAGGUAUAGCUCUUCAUCUAUGACUUGUAUGUUCAAAGUGCGGUAGAGAAGGCAGGUUUGGCUGUAAACAAGAAAGGUUUGACUUUAAAAGAACUUCUCCAGCAAACAUCUCAUCACAAUCCAAAAGUUCGUAGAGAUGCAUUGAUUGGUAUUAAGGAUUUAUUCACCAGAUAUCCAACUGAAUAGAAGUUGCACAAAUAUGCUACUGUAGAAAAACUUCGUGAGCGUAUUGGUGAUGAUGAUAAAGUGGUUCGAAAAUCAUUAUAUGAUCUUUUUAAAGUAGUGAUUUUACCUUGCUGUAAAGAGGUACUUUCCAUUUUGUUUACUUAAAUCACUUUUCUGACACAUUGGGAUUAUACACCAUUAUCAUUUGGAUGGAUAAAAUAUUGUAGGUUGUCGCU